CCACAGAAAGGGAGCUGGGAGUUCUGGCUGGCAACAAGUUGUCCAUGAGUCACAGUGUGCCCUGGCAGUCAGAAGGGCCAGCCGUUCCCUGGGGUGCAUCAGGCCCAGCGCUGCUGGCUAGGCGAGGGAAGGGGUUCUCCUGCUGUGCUCUGGGUGCCACAACAUGAGAAGGACAUAAAGCUAUCCUGUUCAUGGACCACAGAAUGUAGAAGUUGUUGAUAUCCGUUCCCGGCAGCUGACAUUGCAGUGGGAGCCCUUUGGUUAUGCGGUGACCCGCUGCCACAGCUACAAUCUCACAGUCCAGUACCAGUAUGUCUUUAACCAGCAAAAAUUUGAGGCAGAGGAACUCAUCCAAACGUCUUCCCACUAUACCUUGCGAGGUCUUCGGCCGUUCAUGACCAUCAGGCUGAGACUGGCUCUUUCCAAUCCAGAAGGCAAAAUGGAGAGUGAGGAGCUGGUUGUGCAGACUGAGGAGGAUGUUCCUGGACCUGUUCCUUUGGAAUCCAUCCAGGGAGGACCUUUUGAAGAGAAGAUCUAUGUUCAGUGGAAGCCUCCAAAUGAGACAAAUGGCAUCAUUACACUUUAUGAGGUGAGGAGAACUGGCUGUUGUCAAAGCACAUAUGCCAUAGGGCCUUUCUCAUAUGUGUUUAAGCCAGUCAUGAGCUCUGGGAGAUUUCAGAAAACACUAUGAUAAGCCUGAAUAAAAUACAUAAGAAUAUUUCAGAUAUUCUGCUGUUGCCACUGAAAAAGUUUUCCAGUUCAAGGCAUGUGGGGAUUGGGGGGAGGAAUGCCUCAACGGUAUUUGUGGCAAAUUUUGCCAAGAGAUAAUCCUUUACUGAAGUAAGAAGUUGUGUUUUGUUGGUCAUUGUGGAGACACUUGGAAAAAUCUGUGCAGAUUGCAAAUGUCCUAAACUCAAGCAAACCCUUGGAAUUUCAUGGCUUUUGCAGGUGUAGUAAGCUAUUCUCUGUACA
Molecule: non-coding RNA, 972 nt
Organism: Meleagris gallopavo (turkey)
Lineage: Eukaryota; Metazoa; Chordata; Aves; Galliformes; Phasianidae
Source: RefSeq, a predicted model, not a curated record